UACGGGGGGGGCAAGCGUUAAUCGGAAUUACUGGGCGUAAAGCGUGCGCAGGCGGUCUUGCAAGACAGAUGUGAAAUCCCCGGGCUCAACCUGGGAACUGCAUUUGUGACUGCAAGGCUGGAGUGCGGCAGAGGGGGAUGGAAUUCCGCGUGUAGCAGUGAAAUGCGUAGAGAUGUGGAGGAAUACCGAUGGCGAAGGCAGCCCCCUGGGUCGACACUGACGCUCAUGCACGAAAGCGUGGGGAGCAAAC
RNAcentral lists this ribosomal RNA (250 nucleotides) under uncultured bacterium. Its description in RNAcentral is "partial 16S ribosomal RNA". It matches the Rfam family "Bacterial small subunit ribosomal RNA", at positions 524 to 773 of the family's 1533-position model. The record is from RNAcentral.